RNA transcript from Vitis riparia (riverbank grape), 3075 nucleotides. It is a transcript of the gene named vacuolar protein sorting-associated protein 51 homolog, with no coding region annotated. NCBI's taxonomy places the organism in Eukaryota, Viridiplantae, Streptophyta, Magnoliopsida, Vitales, Vitaceae. The transcript has 22 exons. The record is from RefSeq and is a predicted model, not a curated record.
UGCUGAAGCCAGAAGCUGACCCCUGUUAAAUCCACUUCAUCGUCUACUCCAUCUCCGUUUCGACUCUAAUUCAACUUCCAAAACAGCGAAAUCGAAACCCUAGAACGCGCACAAGGAUAUUCGAAAAUGGCUGCCGACGAUAUUCCACUGGACGACAAAGCGAAGAGAAUGAGAGAUCUGCUAUCGAGCUUCUACGCUCCAGAUCCUUCAACGGCCUCGAAUACUUCUUCCAAGUACGUUUCGCUAGACGCCAUCAACACGACUUCCUUCGAUGCCGAUCAGUACAUGAAUCUUCUGGCACAAAAAUCAAAUUUGGAAGGACUUCUUCAAAGACAUGUUGAAAUGGCAGCUGAGAUAAAAAAUCUUGACACUGACUUGCAGAUGUUAGUGUAUGAAAAUUACAACAAGUUUAUCAGUGCCACUGAGACAAUUAAAAGGAUGAAAAAUAACAUCGUAGGCAUGGAAGCAAAUAUGGAACAGCUGCUUAAGAAGAUACUGUCUGUUCAAUCUAGAAGUGAUGGGGUUAAUACCUCUCUUUUUGAGAAAAGAGAACAUAUAGAGAAAUUGCAUCGAACACGAAAUCUUCUUCGGAAAGUUCAGUUCAUAUAUGAUCUACCUACUAGGCUUGGAAAAUGUAUUAAAUCCGAAGCUUAUGCUGAUGCAGUCAGGUUUUAUACUGGAGCCAUGCCGAUUUUUGAGGCAUAUGGGGACUCAUCAUUCCAGGAUUGUAAGAGAGCAUCUGAAGAAGCAAUGUCUAUUAUCAUAAAAAACUUGCAGGAAAAGGUAUGCUUAGACUCUGAAUCUGUGCAAGUAAGAGCUGAGGCUGUGGUGCUUCUUAAGCAGUUGAAUUUUCAGGUGGACAGCUUGAAGGCAAAGCUACUUGAAACUUUGGAAAAAUACCUUAUAACCCUUCAGCUUAACUCUAGAGCAAUAAGCACCACUUCUCUAGAUUCUGAUGAACCUUCCAAACAAGGAAGUUCUUCUGAUGCACUUCCUGGGACUGCACAUGAAGCUUCUACCCGUGAGUUUGUGGAGGCUGUCCGUGCUUAUCGAUUAAUAUUUCCUGAUUCAGAAGAUCAACUAAACAAACUUGCACAAGAUCUGGUUACCAAGCAUUUUGAAUCCACUCAGCAACAAAUAAGGAAGCAGAUUAGUUCAUCUGAUCUACUUGUAAUCCUUCGAGUUAUUUGGACAGAUGUGCUUCUGAUGGAAGAAGUUUUACCUGAUGCUGCUCUCUCUGAUUUUUCUCUGGAGGCUGCCCAUGUUGCUGUUAAACAGUAUGUUGCUAGCACGUUUUCUAAUCUCCUACUCAAUGUCUCAGAUGCCCUUACAAAGGUCCAAACUAAACAAAAGGAAGGGGCCGGAGAAGAAUAUCCUUUGCAGGUUUCACUGGAGGGAAGCAAGAAGGCAGUAAUUCAAGGCAGCAUGGCCAUCUUACUGGACUUCCGUCAGCUUCUUGAUGACAACCUAGGACUGCUGGUGAAACUGAGAGACUUCAUUAUUGAUUGGGUUCAAGAAGGAUUUCAAGACUUUUUCGGAAGUCUCAAUGACCAAUUUCUGUCACUUUCCGGAAAAAAUCAUUCAAUUAGUGAACAUCAGGGUUUGACAGAGGGAACACAAGGGGAAAAGUUUCUUGCAGGCCUUGUUCUUGUACUCGCUCAGCUCUCUGUUUUCAUCGAACAAAGUGCUAUCCCAAGAAUUACCGAGGAAAUAGCAGCUUCCUUUUCUGGUGGUGGUGUUCGAGGCUAUGAAAAUGGUCCUGCCUUUGUUCCUGGAGAAAUUUGUCGAAUAUUUCGAUCAGCCGGUGAAAAGUUCCUGCACCUUUAUAUAAAUAUGAGGACUCAAAAAAUAUCAGUUCUUUUGAGGAAGAGGUUCACAACCCCAAACUGGGUGAAGCACAAGGAGCCCAGAGAAGUCCAUAUGUUUGUCGAUUUGUUUCUUCAAGAGUUGGAAGCAAUAAGAACUGAAGUAAAGCAGAUUUUACCACAAGGACUCCACCGAAAACAUCACCGGACUGAUAGCAAUGGGAGCACAACCUCAUCACGUAGUAAUCCAUUAAGAGAUGAUAAAAUAACCAGGUCAAAUACCCAAAGGGCCCGGAGCCAGCUUCUGGAAAGCCAUCUAGCUAAGUUGUUUAAGCAAAAAAUGGAGAUUUUUACAAAAGUUGAAUACACACAGGAGUCAGUUGUAACAACUGUCGUAAAGCUUUGUCUCAAGAGUUUGCAUGAAUUUGUCAGACUUCAAACUUUUAACCGGAGUGGAUUGCAGCAAAUUCAGUUGGAUAUUCAGUUCCUGAGAGUUCCUUUGAAGGAAAUCGUUGAAGACGAAGCUGCCAUUGACUUCCUGCUGGAUGAGGUGAUUGUUUCUGCUGCUGAGCGAUGUCUGGACCCUAUUCCCCUGGAGCCCCCUAUCUUGGACAAACUUAUACAAGCAAAGUUGGCAAAAACAAAGGAACAGACUGCAGUUUCUUCAUAAAACGUGGAAGGGUGCAUUUGGUAUAUGGGAAUGGGAAUGGAGAUAGGAUGGGAAUCGAGGUGAAUCACAAUAUCAUUUAGAAGAGAGAAAUCAAAAUCCUAAUUCAGAUGAACUAUUUGAAGCUUUGUGUGGGUCACAUAUGGUUACAGAUCACCUGAGGAUGUUUCUACAAACCUCUAAUUCCUCCUACAAUUGAUUAAUCAUACAGCUGGGAAAUUUGAGAUACAUCUGUUGGCUCUCUCUCAGGGUCAAGUCCUCAAACUUGUGUUCAGAAAGCUGUAACUUUGCUGAAACAUUAUUUUCUUCAGUUAUUUGAGUGUCUUAUUACAGGCAUCAGCUCCGCCGGCCUGGUACUGAUUGUGUCCUGCUGGCCUAUACUGAUUAGUGCAUUAUCAUAUACUGAUUGUAUCUCCAUGCAUGGGCCAGGACAAUGCCAGCGCCUCCUAGGCUCCAAGCUGAUGAACUUAUCUGUAUUUGGAAUUGCAUGUCCGAUGAUAAUGAUACACAUCACAUAGCUUUUCUAUUAUUGUUAUUUCAAUGUACUAACAGUGGUUUUUUCGUUGUACUAUGGUCAAUGGCAUAGAGAUUGGCUUCGGAUCU